Molecule: long non-coding RNA, 513 nt
Filed under: Cercocebus atys (sooty mangabey)
Lineage: Eukaryota; Metazoa; Chordata; Mammalia; Primates; Cercopithecidae
Description: lncRNA (ENSCATG00000045913.1)
Source: RNAcentral
CCUAAGCCCCAGGGCCGAAAUGGGUCCAGUUCGGGCACUACCCGGCACGGCCAACAAGGAUCUGGCUCAGGUUGUUCCUCCAGCCGUUGGGCCAUUAUGAGUCUGGCUCAGGCCAGUCUUCUGGCUUUGGGCAACAUGAUCAGGCUCAGCACAGUCCUCUGGCUAUAGUCCAGCAUGGUUCUGCCUCAGGUCAACUCCUCUAUAGCCAGGACAACAUGAGGCCGACAUGGGUCCGGUUCCGGGCACUCUUCUAGCUACAGCCAACAUGGGUCUGGCUCAGGGCAGUCUUCUAGCUGUGGCCAAUAUGGGUCUGGCUCAGGACAGUCCUCUGGUUAUAGUCAGCAUGGAAGUGGCUCAGGGGCAGGUGGGUAUUCUUAUUGCAAAGGAGGAAGUAACUAUGAAGGUGAAAGUUCUUGCUCAGAUUUUCUCAGUUUUCAUAGUAGGACUUCACCCUAUGAAUAUAUCCAAAAGCAGAGGUGCUACUUUUAGCGUUGAAUAAUAAAUAUAAAUGCA